Molecule: long non-coding RNA, 319 nt
Filed under: Olea europaea (common olive)
Lineage: Eukaryota; Viridiplantae; Streptophyta; Magnoliopsida; Lamiales; Oleaceae
Description: long non-coding RNA (OEUR_LNC000535)
Source: RNAcentral
UUUCUUAAUUAAUAACAUAUAAAUUACACACAACUGUCAAUUUCACAAACUCAAAAUUAGAUCUAUACACAUAAAAAGAUGAAAAAAUCACAGCUAGAUGAAAAACCCGUUGGGAAUCGAACAAGAUGACUUGAAGAAAGUUAGAACACAACCCACUAUAUCUUUUGAUUAGAAAUCACAACAAGAUGAAGGAAGCCAAUGCACAUCGCAGCACGAUGAAGAAAUUGUAGUGUAGUCGUCUCUUUUGCCUCUUUUUUACUAUCUCAAGAAAUAAAAUGGAAAGCAAAGAAAUUGAAGUAAAGAAUGUAGAAGAAAAUGG